Molecule: ribosomal RNA, 296 nt
Filed under: Escherichia coli
Lineage: Bacteria; Pseudomonadati; Pseudomonadota; Gammaproteobacteria; Enterobacterales; Enterobacteriaceae
Description: partial 16S ribosomal RNA
Rfam family: Bacterial small subunit ribosomal RNA
Source: RNAcentral
GUAGCGGUGAAAUGCGUAGAGAUCUGGAGGAAUACCGGUGGCGAAGGCGGCCCCCUGGACGAAGACUGACGCUCAGGUGCGAAAGCGUGGGGAGCAAACAGGAUUAGAUACCCUGGUAGUCCACGCCGUAAACGAUGUCGACUUGGAGGUUGUGCCCUUGAGGCGUGGCUUCCGGAGCUAACGCGUUAAGUCGACCGCCUGGGGAGUACGGCCGCAAGGUUAAAACUCAAAUGAAUUGACGGGGGCCCGCACAAGCGGUGGAGCAUGUGGUUUAAUUCGAUGCAACGCGAAGAACC